This 280-nucleotide ribosomal RNA is filed under the name uncultured Lachnospiraceae bacterium. Its description in RNAcentral is "partial 16S ribosomal RNA". It matches the Rfam family "Bacterial small subunit ribosomal RNA", at positions 66 to 339 of the family's 1533-position model. The record is from RNAcentral. Lineage: Bacteria; Bacillati; Bacillota; Clostridia; Lachnospirales; Lachnospiraceae.
AUUUCUUCGGAAUGACGAUUUAGUGACUGAGUGGCGGACGGGUGAGUAACGCGUGGGUAACCUGCCUUAUACGAGGGGGAUAACAGUUAGAAAUGACUGCUAAUACCGCAUAAGCGCACAGGAUUGCAUGAUCUGGUGUAGAAAAACUCCGGUGGUAUAAGAUCGGACCCGCGUCUGAUUAGCUGGUUGGUGAGGUAACCGGCCCACCAAGGCGACGAUCAGUAGCCCGACCUGAGGAGGGUGACCGGCCACACUGGGACUGAGACACGGCCCAAACUCC